This 1546-nucleotide long non-coding RNA is filed under the name Medicago truncatula (barrel medic). Its description in RNAcentral is "lncRNA gene49455". The record is from RNAcentral. Lineage: Eukaryota; Viridiplantae; Streptophyta; Magnoliopsida; Fabales; Fabaceae.
GUCUAAUUUAUUCACAUUCCAUGUCUAAAUUGAGUGAAACCAAAGCUUUUGAAUUCUUAAAAUCUAUACCUACAUUUCUUAUGAAGAUGCUUAAACCAAAUUUUGUAAUUUAAACCGUGAUUUUGGGCAAAUUUUGUUGCACAACGCAAUCAACUCGUUUGUGUGAACUAUUGCACAAUGAAAACACGUCAAGUAUGAUCAAUUUUGUCCAUCUAAGGCUUUUGCUCGUCUUGCGAGCCAACAUAAAACCUUGCUCACAUGUGCGGCAGGACUGCUCUCAUGUGCAACGAUGUGCAAAACUAGACAACAUUUAAGGGUUUUACAUGAGAUAUUACCUUUUUCAUUCAAAUUAUUGCAUGAAAGUUAUAGGCAAACCUGGCCUCACAUAACCAUUCUCUAUAACCUUCAAGAACCUUCGUUCCUUCAUUGAUUCUGGAUUAAUCUUAUCAUUCUCAUGCAUUAGAAAGCCAAAUCUCACCAUAGAAAUUCCUGAUAUUGUGAAUUUUAUUUUCAUAUGCAAAUGUUAAUCGUAAGUACACUGUCAGAGGGGAGGGGAAAUGUUGGCAGCAAAGAUCGAACCCUGAACCUCCAUCUUAAACUCUUUAAAUGGAUGAUGCUGCCGAAGACACAAUAACAUAUACCCUGAAAUUACAAAAUACAUAAACAUAUACUAAACCCAAAAAGAAAGACUCAUAAGGCUUCCCAAUCAAUUUCAACAGAAGGGAACUUCUUCAACCCAAAAUUCUCGACUUCAUCCCACUGGCUAGAAUCUGAGAAAUCCAAGAAAGUAAGACCUGAUUCUGGUGAAGACAAUCCAAGCGAACAUUCAUCAGACAUAGACGAAAACGCCUUAAAAUCCUCAAACACGAAUUCACCCAUUGAUUGUGCAGGAACAUGUACCAGAGGCUUUACAUCUUCAACAGAGGAACAUGGCUUUUCUGUGUUCCCCUGUUUUUGAGAAAUAGCUAAAGUUUCGCAAAUAGCUUGAAGUUUUGAAUCAACCGAGGAAGGAAGCGGAUUGUAGCUUCCAUGGAAGCGCAUGUGAGGAAAAUUGAGACGUGAAAAUUCACCUCUAAGCUUAUAAGCUGCGUUAUCAUAAGCAAAAGCUGCUUCCUCUGCUGUAUCAAAUGUACCUAACCAUAGACGCGUGCGGUUUUUUGGAAGUCGUAUUUCAGCAACCCAUUUUCCCCAAUGACGUUGUCUAACUCCACGGUAGAGUUUCGUUGGUUUUGAGGGAAUUCCAAAGUAUUUCAUGGGAACUGGCUUUUGGGUAAGGGGUUUAUUUUGUUGUUGUUGUUGGCGGGUUUGGAAUUGGGUUUGAAUUUGAAGGAUUUGUGAUGGAGUGAGUUGGUUGAGACCAAUGGAACUUGCUUGGAUUCCGUAAUUGGGAUUCAAAUUUGGUGUAAGUGGAGAUUGUUCAGAGAUUGAUGAAGAAGAACUAGUUUUCAUAAAAGGCUCGAGUGCUUUCAUUAGUUCUUCUUCAUUAUAUGGAUCUAAGAAACCAUGUGUCAUGUUUUUGUUGCUAUUGUACAUAUUUAUGGUUGUU